AUUGAACGCUGGCGGCAGGCCUAACACAUGCAAGUCGAACGGUAACAGGAAGAAGCUUGCUUCUUUGCUGACGAGUGGCGGACGGGUGAGUAAUGUCUGGGAAACUGCCUGAUGGAGGGGGAUAACUACUGGAAACGGUAGCUAAUACCGCAUAACGUCGCAAGACCAAAGAGGGGGACCUUCGGGCCUCUUGCCAUCGGAUGUGCCCAGAUGGGAUUAGCUAGUAGGUGGGGUAACGGCUCACCUAGGCGACGAUCCCUAGCUGGUCUGAGAGGGUGACCCGCCCCACUGGAACUUGAACACCGUCCCGAGUCCUACGGGAGGGCGCAGUGGGGAAUAUUGGACAGUAGGGGGAAACCUUGUUCAACCAGGGCGAGUGUGUUGAAGAGGCCCUCCGGGUGUAAAGUACGUUUCGGGGGGGGGAAGGGAGUUAAGGUUAUAACCAUGCACAUUGACGGUACCCGCAGAAGAAGCACCGGCUAACUCCGUG
This 490-nucleotide ribosomal RNA is filed under the name uncultured bacterium. Its description in RNAcentral is "partial 16S ribosomal RNA". It matches the Rfam family "Bacterial small subunit ribosomal RNA", at positions 30 to 507 of the family's 1533-position model. The record is from RNAcentral.